Molecule: small RNA, 82 nt
Filed under: Salix viminalis (osier)
Lineage: Eukaryota; Viridiplantae; Streptophyta; Magnoliopsida; Malpighiales; Salicaceae
Source: RNAcentral
GUUUUUGAUGAAAACAAGAGGUUGCUCUCCACAGGAAGUUACAUGAUUAUAAUAACCAUAUGGCAACCAAAAAUGAAAAGAC